RNAcentral lists this ribosomal RNA (2987 nucleotides) under Salmonella enterica. Its description in RNAcentral is "23S ribosomal RNA". It matches the Rfam family "Bacterial large subunit ribosomal RNA". The record is from RNAcentral. Lineage: Bacteria; Pseudomonadati; Pseudomonadota; Gammaproteobacteria; Enterobacterales; Enterobacteriaceae. RNAcentral also lists the same sequence under 1 other name.
GGUUAAGCGACUAAGCGUACACGGUGGAUGCCCUGGCAGUCAGAGGCGAUGAAGGGCGUGCUAAUCUGCGAUAAGCGCCGGUAAGGUGAUAUGAACCGUUAUAACCGGCGAUACCCGAAUGGGGAAACCCAGUGUGAUUCGUCACACUAUCAUUAACUGAAUCCAUAGGUUAAUGAGGCGAACCGGGGGAACUGAAACAUCUAAGUACCCCGAGGAAAAGAAAUCAACCGAGAUUCCCCCAGUAGCGGCGAGCGAACGGGGAGGAGCCCAGAGCCUGAAUCAGCAUGUGUGUUAGUGGAAGCGUCUGGAAAGGCGCGCGAUACAGGGUGACAGCCCCGUACACAAAAGCGCAUGUGCUGUGAGCUCGAUGAGUAGGGCGGGACACGUGGUAUCCUGUCUGAAUAUGGGGGGACCAUCCUCCAAGGCUAAAUACUCCUGACUGACCGAUAGUGAACCAGUACCGUGAGGGAAAGGCGAAAAGAACCCCGGCGAGGGGAGUGAAAAAGAACCUGAAACCGUGUACGUACAAGCAGUGGGAGCACAGGUUUACCUGUGUGACUGCGUACCUUUUGUAUAAUGGGUCAGCGACUUAUAUUCUGUAGCAAGGUUAACCGAAUAGGGGAGCCGGAGGGAAACCGAGUCUUAAUUGGGCGUUAAGUUGCAGGGUAUAGACCCGAAACCCGGUGAUCUAGCCAUGGGCAGGUUGAAGGUUGGGUAACACUAACUGGAGGACCGAACCGACUAAUGUUGAAAAAUUAGCGGAUGACCUGUGGCUGGGGGUGAAAGGCCAAUCAAACCGGGAGAUAGCUGGUUCUCCCCGAAAGCUAUUUAGGUAGCGCCUCGUGAAUUCAUCUCCGGGGGUAGAGCACUGUUUCGGCUAGGGGGCCAUCCCGGCUUACCAACCCGAUGCAAACUGCGAAUACCGGAGAAUGUUAUCACGGGAGACACACGGCGGGUGCUAACGUCCGUCGUGAAGAGGGAAACAACCCAGACCGCCAGCUAAGGUCCCAAAGUCAUGGUUAAGUGGGAAACGAUGUGGGAAGGCCCAGACAGCCAGGAUGUUGGCUUAGAAGCAGCCAUCAUUUAAAGAAAGCGUAAUAGCUCACUGGUCGAGUCGGCCUGCGCGGAAGAUGUAACGGGGCUAAACCAUGCACCGAAGCUGCGGCAGCGAACGUAUCACUUAAAGCGAUUCAGCGGGUUACGAUUGACGGAGCGAAGCGACGUCAAAGCGUAUACAAAGUCGAGUCGGUUUAAGGAUACGUUCGUUGGGUAGGGGAGCGUUCUGUAAGCCUGUGAAGGUGGCCUGUGAGGGUUGCUGGAGGUAUCAGAAGUGCGAAUGCUGACAUAAGUAACGAUAAAGCGGGUGAAAAGCCCGCUCGCCGGAAGACCAAGGGUUCCUGUCCAACGUUAAUCGGGGCAGGGUGAGUCGACCCCUAAGGCGAGGCCGAAAGGCGUAGUCGAUGGGAAACGGGUUAAUAUUCCCGUACUUGGUGUUACUGCGAAGGGGGGACGGAGAAGGCUAUGUUGGCCGGGCGACGGUUGUCCCGGUUUAAGCGUGUAGGCUGGUUUUCCAGGCAAAUCCGGAAAAUCAAGGCUGAGGCGUGACGACGAGGCACUACGGUGCUGAAGCAACAAAUGCCCUGCUUCCAGGAAAAGCCUCUAAGCAUCAGGUAACAUCAAAUCGUACCCCAAACCGACACAGGUGGUCAGGUAGAGAAUACCAAGGCGCUUGAGAGAACUCGGGUGAAGGAACUAGGCAAAAUGGUGCCGUAACUUCGGGAGAAGGCACGCUGACACGUAGGUGAAGUGAUUUACUCAUGGAGCUGAAGUCAGUCGAAGAUACCAGCUGGCUGCAACUGUUUAUUAAAAACACAGCACUGUGCAAACACGAAAGUGGACGUAUACGGUGUGACGCCUGCCCGGUGCCGGAAGGUUAAUUGAUGGGGUCAGCGCAAGCGAAGCUCCUGAUCGAAGCCCCGGUAAACGGCGGCCGUAACUAUAACGGUCCUAAGGUAGCGAAAUUCCUUGUCGGGUAAGUUCCGACCUGCACGAAUGGCGUAAUGAUGGCCAGGCUGUCUCCACCCGAGACUCAGUGAAAUUGAACUCGCUGUGAAGAUGCAGUGUACCCGCGGCAAGACGGAAAGACCCCGUGAACCUUUACUAUAGCUUGACACUGAACAUUGAGCCUUGAUGUGUAGGAUAGGUGGGAGGCUUUGAAGUGUGGACGCCAGUCUGCAUGGAGCCGACCUUGAAAUACCACCCUUUAAUGUUUGAUGUUCUAACGUGGACCCGUAAUCCGGGUUGCGGACAGUGUCUGGUGGGUAGUUUGACUGGGGCGGUCUCCUCCUAAAGAGUAACGGAGGAGCACGAAGGUUGGCUAAUCCUGGUCGGACAUCAGGAGGUUAGUGCAAUGGCAUAAGCCAGCUUGACUGCGAGCGUGACGGCGCGAGCAGGUGCGAAAGCAGGUCAUAGUGAUCCGGUGGUUCUGAAUGGAAGGGCCAUCGCUCAACGGAUAAAAGGUACUCCGGGGAUAACAGGCUGAUACCGCCCAAGAGUUCAUAUCGACGGCGGUGUUUGGCACCUCGAUGUCGGCUCAUCACAUCCUGGGGCUGAAGUAGGUCCCAAGGGUAUGGCUGUUCGCCAUUUAAAGUGGUACGCGAGCUGGGUUUAGAACGUCGUGAGACAGUUCGGUCCCUAUCUGCCGUGGGCGCUGGAGAACUGAGGGGGGCUGCUCCUAGUACGAGAGGACCGGAGUGGACGCAUCACUGGUGUUCGGGUUGUCAUGCCAAUGGCACUGCCCGGUAGCUAAAUGCGGAAGAGAUAAGUGCUGAAAGCAUCUAAGCACGAAACUUGCCCCGAGAUGAGUUCUCCCUGAGACUUAGAGUCUCCUGAAGGAACGUUGAAGACGACGACGUUGAUAGGCCGGGUGUGUAAGCGCAGCGAUGCGUUGAGCUAACCGGUACUAAUGAACCGUGAGGCUUAACCUU